ACAACGAAGAGUUUGAUCCUGGCUCAGGAUGAACGCUAGCGACAGGCUUAACACAUGCAAGUCGAGGGGCAGCACAGGUAGCAAUACCGGGUGGCGACCGGCGCACGGGUGAGUAACGCGUAUGCAACUUGCCUAUCAGAGGGGGAUAACCCGGCGAAAGUCGGACUAAUACCGCAUGAAGCAGGGAUCCCGCAUGGGAAUAUUUGCUAAAGAUUCAUCGCUGAUAGAUAGGCAUGCGUUCCAUUAGGCAGUUGGCGGGGUAACGGCCCACCAAACCGACGAUGGAUAGGGGUUCUGAGAGGAAGGUCCCCCACAUUGGUACUGAGACACGGACCAAACUCCUACGGGAGGCAGCAGUGAGGAAUAUUGGUCAAUGGCCGAGAGGCUGAACCAGCCAAGUCGCGUGAGGGAUGAAGGUUCUAUGGAUCGUAAACCUCUUUUAUAAGGGAAUAAAGUGCGGGACGUGUCCCGUUUUGUAUGUACCUUAUGAAUAAGGAUCGGCUAACUCCGUGCCAGCAGCCGCGGUAAUACGGAGGAUCCGAGCGUUAUCCGGAUUUAUUGGGUUUAAAGGGUGCGUAGGCGGCCUUUUAAGUCAGCGGUGAAAGUCUGUGGCUCAACCAUAGAAUUGCCGUUGAAACUGGGGGGCUUGAGUAUGUUUGAGGCAGGCGGAAUGCGUGGUGUAGCGGUGAAAUGCAUAGAUAUCACGCAGAACCCCGAUUGCGAAGGCAGCCUGCCAAGCCAUUACUGACGCUGAUGCACGAAAGCGUGGGGAUCAAACAGGAUUAGAUACCCUGGUAGUCCACGCAGUAAACGAUGAUCACUAGCUGUUUGCGAUACACUGUAAGCGGCACAGCGAAAGCGUUAAGUGAUCCACCUGGGGAGUACGCCGGCAACGGUGAAACUCAAAGGAAUUGACGGGGGCCCGCACAAGCGGAGGAACAUGUGGUUUAAUUCGAUGAUACGCGAGGAACCUUACCCGGGUUUGAACGCAUUCGGACCGAGGUGGAAACACCUUUUCUAGCAAUAGCCGUUUGCGAGGUGCUGCAUGGUUGUCGUCAGCUCGUGCCGUGAGGUGUCGGCUUAAGUGCCAUAACGAGCGCAACCCUUGCCACUAGUUACUAACAGGUUAGGCUGAGGACUCUGGUGGGACUGCCAGCGUAAGCUGCGAGGAAGGCGGGGAUGACGUCAAAUCAGCACGGCCCUUACAUCCGGGGCGACACACGUGUUACAAUGGCGUGGACAAAGGGAGGCCACCUGGCGACAGGGAGCGAAUCCCCAAACCACGUCUCAGUUCGGAUCGGAGUCUGCAACCCGACUCCGUGAAGCUGGAUUCGCUAGUAAUCGCGCAUCAGCCAUGGCGCGGUGAAUACGUUCCCGGGCCUUGUACACACCGCCCGUCAAGCCAUGGGAGCCGGGGGUACCUGAAGUCCGUAACCGAAAGGAUCGGCCUAGGGUAAAACUGGUGACUGGGGCUAAGUCGUAACAAGGUAGCCGUACCGGAAGGUGCGGCUGGAACACCUCCUUUCU
RNAcentral lists this ribosomal RNA (1527 nucleotides) under Parabacteroides distasonis ATCC 8503. RNAcentral describes it as "16S ribosomal RNA". It matches the Rfam family "Bacterial small subunit ribosomal RNA". Lineage: Bacteria; Pseudomonadati; Bacteroidota; Bacteroidia; Bacteroidales; Tannerellaceae. The record is from RNAcentral.